RNAcentral lists this ribosomal RNA (241 nucleotides) under uncultured Actinomycetales bacterium. Its description in RNAcentral is "partial 16S ribosomal RNA". It matches the Rfam family "Bacterial small subunit ribosomal RNA", at positions 89 to 334 of the family's 1533-position model. The record is from RNAcentral. Lineage: Bacteria; Bacillati; Actinomycetota; Actinomycetes; Actinomycetales.
ACUCGAGUGGCGAACGGGUGAGUAACACGUGGGUGAUCUGCCCUGCACUUCGGGAUAAGCCUGGGAAACUGGGUCUAAUACCGGAUAGGAACCGUCUUUAGUGUGGUGGUUGGAAAGUUUUUCGGUGCAAGAUGAGCUCGCGGCCUAUCAGCUUGUUGGUGGGGUAAUGGCCUACCAAGGCGUCGACGGGUAGCCGGCCUGAGAGGGUGUACGGCCACAUUGGGACUGAGAUACGGCCCAG